UGUGGGGGGGCUUUGGGACACAUGGGGCGGCUGUGGGGGACAUGCGGUGACCGUUGGGACACGGGGGGGCCCUGAGGCGCGGGGCUGAGGCGCGCGGGGCGGGGCGGGGCGGGGCCGCUGCGACCGUUAGGACCGUUGGGGCGCGCGGGCUCUCGCCCUGAGGGGACGCGCGGUGGGGGGCAGCGGGCGGCGCUCACCUCUUCUGCGCCUUCUCCGCCAUGGCGGCACCGCCUGCGCAGGCGCUGGGCUGGGGCUGGGCGGGCCCCGCUCGGCUCCUCCCGGCGGCCGGGGCCCUGAGACGGCGCAAGCUCUAAAGAGCUUGAGUCAGAAACAAGCUGGAGAGAGCCAGGAGACAUCAAGGGCUGGAAGGAUCCAGGAGACAUCGAGGGCUGGGAACUGGAGCAAGCUGGAGACAGCCAGGAGGCAACCAGGGCUGGAGCCCUCCGUGAACUGUAAAUAUCUUCGCUGUAUUUCCCACUAUUUCCUUCUGAGACUGAAGAACACAGAAAACUGGGAUCGCACCUCGGCACGUGCUGUACAGUCUGCACAACAGGGAGCUCCUUACAGUUUCUCUCCUACGAAGAGUGUCCUCAUUCAGUCCUUCAGCUGUACCUCCGUGAGUUUGUUUGAUUUCAAAUUCACCUUUCCUGGAAGUGUGGGUUGUCUCGGGGUGUUUUAGGUUGGAUAUUAGGAAGAACUUCUUUACUGAGAGGGUUGUGAGGCAUUGGAAUGG
Anas platyrhynchos (mallard) is the source of this 733-nucleotide non-coding RNA. NCBI's taxonomy places the organism in Eukaryota, Metazoa, Chordata, Aves, Anseriformes, Anatidae. The record is from RefSeq and is a predicted model, not a curated record.